GACGAACGCUGGCGGCGUGCCUAAUACAUGCAAGUCGAACGCUUUUUCUUUCACCGGAGCUUGCUCCAUCGAAAGAAAAAGAGUGGCGAACGGGUGAGUAACACGUGGGUAACCUGCCCAUCAGAAGGGGAUAACACUUGGAAACAGGUGCUAAUACCGUAUAACACUAUUUUCCGCAUGGAAGAAAGUUGAAAGGCGCUUUUGCGUCACUGAUGGAUGGACCCGCGGUGCAUUAGCUAGUUGGUGAGGUAACGGCUCACCAAGGCAACGAUGCAUAGCCGACCUGAGAGGGUGAUCGGCCACACUGGGACUGAGACACGGCCCAGACUCCUACGGGAGGCAGCAGUAGGGAAUCUUCGGCAAUGGACGAAAGUCUGACCGAGCAACGCCGCGUGAGUGAAGAAGGUUUUCGGAUCGUAAAACUCUGUUGUUAGAGAAGAACAAGGAUGAGAGUAACUGUUCAUCCCUUGACGGUAUCUAACCAGAAAGCCACGGCUAACUACGUGCCAGCCGCCGCCGUAA
RNAcentral lists this ribosomal RNA (522 nucleotides) under uncultured bacterium. Its description in RNAcentral is "partial 16S ribosomal RNA". It matches the Rfam family "Bacterial small subunit ribosomal RNA", at positions 28 to 523 of the family's 1533-position model. The record is from RNAcentral.